CAGUAGCCGCGGGAAUACGAAGGGUGCAAGCGUUACCCGGAUUUACUGGGCGUAAAGGGAGCGUAGGCGGCGUGGUAAGUCAGAUGUGAAAUCCCGGGGCUCAACCCCGGAACUGCAUCCGAUACUGCCGUGCUAGAGGAUUGGAGAGGUAGCUGGAAUUCUUGGUGUAGCAGUGAAAUGCGUGGAGAUCAAGAGGAACACUCGUGGCGAAAGCGAGCUACUGGACAAUAUCUGACGCUGAGGCUCGAAGGCCAGGGUAGCGAAAGGGAUUAGAUACCCCUGUAGUCCCUGUCUCUUAUAC
This 301-nucleotide ribosomal RNA is filed under the name uncultured bacterium. RNAcentral's name for it is "partial 16S ribosomal RNA". It matches the Rfam family "Bacterial small subunit ribosomal RNA", at positions 509 to 807 of the family's 1533-position model. The record is from RNAcentral.